RNAcentral lists this transfer RNA (73 nucleotides) under Candidatus Cloacimonadota bacterium. RNAcentral's name for it is "tRNA-Lys". It matches the Rfam family "tRNA". From Rfam's summary of the family: Transfer RNA (tRNA) molecules are approximately 80 nucleotides in length. Their secondary structure includes four short double-helical elements and three loops (D, anti-codon, and T loops). Lineage: Bacteria; Pseudomonadati; Candidatus Cloacimonadota. The record is from RNAcentral.
GGGUGUUUAGCUCAGUUGGUAGAGCCCCGGCCUUUUAAGCCGGUUGUCAUGGGUUCGAGCCCCAUAGCACCUA